GAUAAACGCUGGCGGCGUGCUUAACACAUGCAAGUCGAACGGUGAAGCAGGAGCUUGCUCUUGUGGAUCAGUGGCGAACGGGUGAGUAACACGUGAGCAACCUGCCCCUGACUCUGGGAUAAGCGCUGGAAACGGCGUCUAAUACUGGAUAUGUGAUGUGACCGCAUGGUCUGCAUCUGGAAAGAAUUUCGGUUGGGGAUGGGCUCGCGGCCUAUCAGCUUGUUGGUGAGGUAAUGGCUCACCAAGGCGUCGACGGGUAGCCGGCCUGAGAGGGUGACCGGCCACACUGGGACUGAGACACGGCCCAGACUCCUACGGGAGGCAGCAGUGGGGAAUAUUGCACAAUGGGCGGAAGCCUGAUGCAGCAACGCCGCGUGAGGGAUGACGGCCUUCGGGUUGUAAACCUCUUUCAGAAGGGAAGAAGCGAAAGUGACGGUACCUGCAGAAAAAGCACCGGCUAACUACGUGCCAGCCGCCGCGGUAA
RNAcentral lists this ribosomal RNA (484 nucleotides) under uncultured bacterium. Its description in RNAcentral is "partial 16S ribosomal RNA". It matches the Rfam family "Bacterial small subunit ribosomal RNA", at positions 28 to 523 of the family's 1533-position model. The record is from RNAcentral.